This is a long non-coding RNA of Cydia amplana, 467 nucleotides long. RefSeq lists it as uncharacterized. The record is from RefSeq and is a predicted model, not a curated record. The transcript has 2 exons. NCBI's taxonomy places the organism in Eukaryota, Metazoa, Arthropoda, Insecta, Lepidoptera, Tortricidae.
GAUGCAAAUAAUGCCGGGUCAUUGACGUUCUAUGUAACUAAAGUAAAAUCAUAAUAAUGCGCAAGUGUUAGAAAAUUGUGGGACCUAGUUUGGAAGCAAUAGGAAAACGUACCAAAUCAGGUUUAGUUAGGUACCUACCAAACAUUGGCAAGGCAACUGACAGCCAAACACCGGACACUUGACGUUCGCCGGCCAUAUUACCGAUCAAGCGUCACGCUGCCAUGAGCAUAUGCCCUAAGAAAACUUAAAAAUAGACGAUGGUACGCAAUAAAUCAAUAACAAACAGAUCACUCAAAGCAUAAUUAUCAUCGUCCGACGCGCGACUGACUGACCGGCGACGACACAGGCGAGUUUGAAAACGAAGAUGGCGCGGGCUUCCACACGCGUUCUGUGAUUGGCCGAGACAGUCCGCCAUUAAAUAACUGUGACUAGCAUGUGGAAAAUAUUGUCAAUUAUAAUAUUCGAUA